This 388-nucleotide ribosomal RNA is filed under the name uncultured bacterium. Its description in RNAcentral is "bacterial SSU rRNA". It matches the Rfam family "Bacterial small subunit ribosomal RNA", at positions 28 to 417 of the family's 1533-position model. The record is from RNAcentral.
GACGAACGCUGGCGGCGUGCUUAACACAUGCAAGUCGAGCGGUAAGGCCCUUUCGGGGGUACACGAGCGGCGAACGGGUGAGUAACACGUGGGUGACCUGCCCUCAGCUCUGGGAUAAGCCCGGGAAACUGGGUCUAAUACUGGAUAUGACUCCAUGACGCAUGUUGUGGGGUGGAAAGCCUUGUGCGGCUGGGGAUGGGCCCGCGGCCUAUCAGCUUGUUGGUGGGGUGAUGGCCUACCAAGGCGACGACGGGUAGCCGGCCUGAGAGGGCGACCGGCCACACUGGGACUGAGACACGGCCCAGACUCCUACGGGAGGCAGCAGUGGGGAAUCUUGCGCAAUGGGCGAAAGCCUGACGCAGCGACGCCGCGUGAGGGAUGACGGCCU